ACAGGGAAGCUUCGGGAGCUAGUUGAUGCAGCGGUGAGGAGAGGUGUUGAUAUCCUUUGCGUCCAAGAAACCAAAUGGAGAGGACAGAAGGCGAAGGAGGUGGAGGAUACCGGCUUCAAGCUGUGGUACACGGGGACGGCUGCAGACAGAAACGGCGUAGGCAUCUUGAUCAACAAGAGCCUCAAGUAUGGAGUGGUAGACGUCAAGAGACGUGGGGACCGAAUUAUCCUGGUCAAGCUGGUAGUUGAGGACUUGGUUCUCAAUGUUAUCAGCGCGUAUGCCCCGCAAGUAUGCCACAAUGAGAACACCAAGAGGGAGUUCUAG
RNAcentral lists this ribosomal RNA (324 nucleotides) under Triticum aestivum (bread wheat). Its description in RNAcentral is "partial small subunit ribosomal RNA". Lineage: Eukaryota; Viridiplantae; Streptophyta; Magnoliopsida; Poales; Poaceae. The record is from RNAcentral.